RNAcentral lists this long non-coding RNA (1812 nucleotides) under Equus asinus (donkey). RNAcentral describes it as "lncRNA (ENSEASG00005033210.1)". The record is from RNAcentral. Lineage: Eukaryota; Metazoa; Chordata; Mammalia; Perissodactyla; Equidae.
GCUGAUUCUAGGCCAACCUCUUAGCGAAGCACCUUUCACACACUACCUCUACUUAUCACAACAUCCUAAGACAGGCUUGUUUCAUCAACUCCUGUUUUACACCUGAGAAAACUGAGGCUUGACGGAGACAGAAGAUUUCUCUAUGGUGUUCUGGCUGGUAAAUGCUGGAGCGAGCAUUAGAUCCAGACAGCCAGGUGCCCAGUGUCAUUGAACCCAAGAGUCUUGCUGCUGCCAGGAAGAGCACUUGCUGAGAGGUUGGCUGCAAAUACGAUCUACAGCAUGAAUCCUGAAUCUCAGACCGCUGUUGGAGUCUAUUACCCACUAUAUUAUUUCCCUGCCAAGAGGACAAGUUAAGCGGAUACAGCAUGAGAGAGAAAGCCAAACAGACCAAUAAGUCAAGGUAAAAAGAGAAGGAAAAAACUAAUGGGAAGAAGCUGGAGGAAGGAUUAGAAGCAGAACAAGCAGCAGCUCAUAAAGAAGCUUGUGAAUUGACCACGACACAUGCAACGAAGGUGACAGAGUGAGUGAGAAAGUACCCCAUGAACACCCAGCACUUGCCCAGCAUUGUCGGUCUCAGUCUCCAUGUCACCGUCACCAAUUCCUGGUGCCCUGGAAAGCAGAGGCUUCAGGUCCCAGACUUAACACCAAGAGGAGGCCUAGAAGAGAGCUUUGGAACUAUAGCCAAUUUCAACAUCCACUCACUCCCUCUAAGAUCUGUCUUGGUAGGCUGCAGGCUGCUCAUCAGAGCUGAUGUUGACAGCUCAGGCUCUAGGCUCCUGGACACCGCUAAGUUUUGGUGCCUUGCUUCCUGGGUCCCCACUCAUCCCUAAGGACGUGCGAGUUGGCAGUAAUGGAACAAAGCUGUGCAGAUCUAGGGGCAAAGUCAAAUCUUAGCCAGGUGAAUUACCAGCCCCUACCUACCGCCUAGCAUGCUCUGGCAGGUUAGGAUGAGGAGACUGUAUCGCAGUCCAUUGCUAAGUUUCUUCAACUAAAUUAAACAGAGACUGGGGAUGGUACAGAUUUAAGAACAUCAAAACCAAACCAUCACACCAAGGAAGCAGGAAACAGCCAGAAGGCCAGAAUUACAAACGUGGAUGUUAGAAUUCAUCAGAAGCCAAAAGAACAAUAAAGAAUGAGGUCAGGAAUGCUGAAGAUCCAAGUUGGUGUUCCUAGAGAGGAAAGAAUUAGGAGCAGUCACUAAGGAUCUAGCUUCUUACACAGAUGGGAGACUAUGGAGACAGAACUCCAACAAGAAUAGUUCCUGUGUCUCGAAAGGACCUGGCUGCAUCUGCUGAAGUCUCCUACACUUGAUUCUUCCUCAUGAGUUUACUCCAUGGGCCAUUCAAUCUGCUUGUUUUCCCACACAACUGGGUCAGAGUGGAUAUUUACUACAUUUGCUUCUGGAACACCCACAGGCCGCAUCUGGCACAUAGCCCCCAUCGACAUGUAAUAAACUAAUGACCCAAAGCAAGAGGACAGCCUUCUGUGAAGCUCCAGUGGACAUGGCCAUGUGGACAAAGAAGGGCCAUCAGAUGAGUCUUUGGCCUAAUGAGACAUACAUUUGAUGAGGGUCACCUCUAGGAAGGGCAAGGGAAAAUAUGGGACCGGGGCAUCCAAAAGACUUUUAAUUUUAUCUAUGAUGCUUUAUUUUAUUUAAAAAAAUAAAAUUGGGGGUUUAAAAUGUAAUUAUAAAUUUUGUGUGGUGGAAAUAAAUUGUUAUAUAAUGCCCCAUGCUUUUCUAUAUUUUUUUAAUUUAUCAAAAUAAAAAGAAGCAGCAAAAAAAAUGAGGAGAGGAAGGGAGGGAGGACAAAG